Non-coding RNA from Mesocricetus auratus (golden hamster), 71 nucleotides. The record is from Rfam. Lineage: Eukaryota; Metazoa; Chordata; Mammalia; Rodentia; Cricetidae.
GGAGAGAUGACUCAGUGGUUAAGAGUACUGACUGCUUUUGCAGAGGACCUGGGUUCAAUUCCCAGCAUCCA